GAAAUGGAACAGGGGCAGAAAAUAGCACACUUUUACUCUACGCAACUGUUGCUUUUUCAUGAUCUUCAGGAAUUUUACUGGGAUAAUUAUCCAAAUAAAUUGCAAGCAUUCUAUCCAAAUGAAACUUACAACCAAGUUGAAAAGACAAGAGCCAUAAAAUAAAAUAAUAGCAAAUUAAUAUAAAACCUGGAUAAAGAAUGUAAUAACUAGAUGACCAAUUUGAGAGUGCUUAUUGGGACUUAUGAAGAAAAAGAAAUUGAAAAAAGGAGCUCUUUCUGAGAUGAAGAGAAUUCUCAAUGUCAAGAUUUGAACAAGAAGAGAAUGGAAUACACAAUAUGGACAUCCAUAAAAAUUCAUCAGAGAGCAUUUUACUACUGAGCUGCAAAGGGAAAAACUUAAAAUGGAUAUGAAAAGUGAAGAAAGUGAUCAUAGGAGAAAACCAUUUCAGAUAUCUGUGGAUAUCUCUCCAGAACUUCAUGUAUAUGUAAGUGACUUGCUCCCAAUUCUUUCACAUUUUAUCAAUAUCAGCUGUGUUUUGCUUAAAAAAUGAGCCUUACCUAACUAAAAUUUCUACUGUAAUAAAGCAAGUUAAUUGUAGUGAAAUCUAAUUAUCUGUUUACUAUGAUUUCAUUAUAAAUCUUGUGGGUUUUUUUUUCUUACAUUGUCCUUAUGUAUUAGCACCUGUGGUAAGAUAUAUUGAUCACAGUUUCAUCAGAUAGGCAUACUGCUUCAAUAUUGUUUGAAAAAAAUCUUUAUCUUUCAGCUUCAUAUUCUAGGAGGAACCAAAUGUAACAUUUACUUUUCAUUUUGAUUGCAUAUUAACUUGAGGUCAUAAUCUUGCUUUAACAAUCCAUCUCUUCUAAUUAUAGAUAUAGGAGGUAUGGAAGUAUGUGUUUGCCACAGAACAAACCCUGGAUAUAUUUCCAUCUUGCUUAUAAAACUUGUCUUUAUGUAAAUGUUUAAAUAAGAUAUUUUAGGAUAAAUGGUUUUUAUCAUUGCCUAUUAUGUCAUUUUCUAUUAAAAGUGAAUUUUAUACUUAAUUGACUCUGAUUCUUAAGGCAUUAAAUUCUAGUCCAUUCUUCUUAUGAGAUAGGGUUAGUAAAAUAAGUUAGUUUUAUGGGAUCAAAAGCUACAAACAGGCUGGGCAUGCUGGCUCAUACCUGUAAUGCCUGCACUUUGGGAGACUAAGGCAGGAGGAUCGCUUGAGGCUAGAAGUUUGAGACCAGCCAGUGCAAUAUAGCAAGACCCCUGUCUCUAUAAAGAAAAAAAAUCAAGUAAAAA
Molecule: long non-coding RNA, 1281 nt
Filed under: Homo sapiens (human)
Lineage: Eukaryota; Metazoa; Chordata; Mammalia; Primates; Hominidae
Description: mir-99a-let-7c cluster host gene
Source: RNAcentral